ACCUCACGACGAAGAAACUGUUACCAUUUAAAAGGAAAAGUAACUUCGCUACAUAACAUCUACUAUUAACGCAGUCUAGGAAGGUUUUAUCCUGAAAUGCGUGCGGAGGAGGCUAGAGGGUGAAGGUUUUUUUCUCGGAAAUUACAGUCUUCCUCAACUCCCGCCUCCCCUCCACCCGGCGCUUCCCGUCACUUUGGAGGGACUCGAAGCCGUCCCAGGCCAUUUCUAUGGGUGACGACUUGUGGACUACCGUGAGGAAAUCAUUUAUGAUGGCGAGAACCCUGCUGGCCAUCUUAUAUGCCCCUAAGGACGGCAUAGAAGGAGCUGACUGCUGGUAACUUUUCUGCCUAUCUCUUCCUGUAUUUGACUUUUUCGAGAAAAUAACAAAAUAAGGAGUUCCCACUGAUGCACAGUAGGUUCGGAGUCCAACUGCUGCGUCUUAGGCCACAGCAGAGAAUAUGGCCCUGAGACUAUACUCUGGCCUGAAAAUGAACUUCAGGAAGCUACUUUAGAGAGAAGAGGGAUGCAGCUUCUCCUUUAACUUCCCUUAUUCCUGUGAUGACUGGAGCGCUCACAACAUUUUUAGGUCAUGAGAUAAUGCACCGUAAUGGAGGGCAGAGCAUCAAGAAAGAAGGAACCUCAGUUCCUGAUACAAUGAAGCACUAUAGCAACCCUGAAAUUUUUAGAUGGCUUGAAGACAAAUUGGAGAUGGCAGAAAAAAGACUCAGUGGCCUUGAAGGAGUUGAAAGGCAUUCCAGGCUGCUGCAGCUACUCAAAGAAGUCAUCAAGGACCCGUGUUCCUCCUAGUGCCCCAGUUCUCCAUCCUUAGGAUGUUUCUUCCAUCUUCAUGGUGACAAGAUGGCUUCUCCACCAUCAAGCACUGUGUCCAUGAGUCAGGCAGAAAGAAGAGGGGCAAGGCAAUGGGCUUGUUCCCAGAAGCCCCACCAAGCCACUGUCUAUAGGAUUGAGAAUCAGCCAGAACUAUAUUAUAUGGUACCGUGAAUGAAAAAUGUUGCCUGCCAUAUCAGUAAAUAAAGGAUGUUGCAGCCACUGAGGUAUGACAGCCACCUCUACUGGCACACUCUGAGGGAACUCAGGAUUGGAAAGAGCAGGAAACUGGCCCUAGACAGCUAAGGUGCGUAUCAAAGGCAUGAUUUCAAUGAGCCCAGACUCUUGCAUCGUCCCACACAUAGAAAAGUGCUAAAGUCAUAAUUUUCUUUGAUUAACAGUAAUCUUUUGAAGUUCCAACUAUACCUGGUCUUUGUUGCAGAAACUCCUAUAUAUUCUGGCUCCUCCUUUACCUCUUCAGAACAAUCCCUCAGAGCAACCUGAGAGGCGGCAUUCUGGACUUAUGUCUUCAGUUUUGUCUAUCAAAUAAAAUAUAAUUCUUGACUUUCAGGUGUGCAAUUUUUUGGCCAUGCCCACAGCAUGUGAAGUUCCCCAGCCAGAGAUCAAAUCUGCACCACAGUUGUGGCAAUCCCGGCUCUACCACUUGGGAACUUCCUAGAUGUAUUUUUUCGGUCAACAGAGCCCACAAGAGAGGCUGAAAGUUCAAUGUUAUAAGUGGGUUCUUUGUGCUUGGAAUAGAUUCUGUGAGUAAAGAUAAGAGAGAGAAUAGCUAUUCUAGACUUGCCAGGUCUGCAACACUGGCAUAGUAUGUACCUUGAAAAUGCUAAUUAUAAACCUGAUUUUUUUCUCUUUUUUUGCAACUCUGAAAUUUCUUAGGAGGAUUUAGAGUGGAAGCUCAUAGAAAACAUUAAUUCUCUGUGGAGAAAUAUUAAAGACUACCACUUCAAAAAGUAUUGGACUAUACCUUGCAGACUCUCUUAAAUAUUGUUAAUAAAGGACAGAGAAUAAUGCUGCCA
This 1865-nucleotide long non-coding RNA is filed under the name Sus scrofa (pig). RNAcentral's name for it is "lncRNA (ENSSSCG00025056503.1)". The record is from RNAcentral. Lineage: Eukaryota; Metazoa; Chordata; Mammalia; Artiodactyla; Suidae.